Molecule: long non-coding RNA, 285 nt
Filed under: Gossypium barbadense (sea-island cotton)
Lineage: Eukaryota; Viridiplantae; Streptophyta; Magnoliopsida; Malvales; Malvaceae
Description: long non-coding RNA (GBAR_LNC018221)
Source: RNAcentral
CCGACCCGCUGUGAAUACCUUCCUUUCUUCAAGUAACGGCCGAUCCUACCAACUGGGAACUGGAGACCGGCUUUGACAGACCUUGAAACGGGCUUCUUCUUCGGGCCACCACCUUUCCUUCCUCCGGCUCCCUUCUUUACUUUUCCGGUAGUUUCCAUUACUUCGAACCGACCAAAUGCUUCGUUAACUUAAAUCUCUUAGCUUUAAAAUUAGAGGGUAUUGAUUGGUACAGGAGAACUGAAGGGUGGAAGGGACGACUCGGUAUUUUAUAGCAGUGGAUUUGGG